UAAAACGUAGGAGGCGAGCGUUAUCCGGAGUUACUGGGCGUAAAGCGUCUGUAGGCGGUUUUCCAAGUUGCGUGUGAAAGCGCCCGGCUAAACUGGGCGAAGCCACGUAAGACUGGGAGACUAGAGGGUGGUAGAGGGGCGUGGAAUUCCGGGUGUAGCGGUGAAAUGUGUAGAGAUCCGGAGGAACACCAGUGGUGCAGACGGCGCCCUGGGCCACUACUGACGCUGAUAGACGAAAGCGUGGGGAGCGAACGGGAUUAGAGACCCCGGUAGUCCACGCCGUAAACGAUGCUUGCUAGGUGUUCACUCGCAAGAGGGAGUGCCGAAGCUAACGCGCUAAGCAAGCCGCCUGGGGAGUACGGUCGCAAGGCUA
Molecule: ribosomal RNA, 373 nt
Filed under: uncultured bacterium
Lineage: Bacteria
Description: bacterial SSU rRNA
Rfam family: Bacterial small subunit ribosomal RNA
Source: RNAcentral